AGUGAACGCUGGCGGCAGGCCUAACACAUGCAAGUCGAGCGGCAGCGGGUCCUUCGGGAUGCCGGCGAGCGGCGGACGGGUGAGGAAUACAUCGGAAUCUGCCCUGUCGUGGGGGAUAACCUAGGGAAACUUAGGCUAAUACCGCAUACGACCUACGGGUGAAAGCGGGGGAUCGCAAGACCUCGCGCGACAGGAUGAGCCGAUGUCCGAUUAGCUAGUUGGCGGGGUAAAGGCCCACCAAGGCGACGAUCGGUAGCUGGUCUGAGAGGAUGAUCAGCCACACUGGGACUGAGACACGGCCCAGACUCCUACGGGAGGCAGCAGUGGGGAAUAUUGGAUAAUGGGCGCAAGCCUGAUCCAGCCAUGCCGCGUGGGUGAAGAAGGCCUUCGGGUUGUAAAGCCCUUUUGUCCGGGAAGAAAUCGUCUGGGCUAAUACCCCGGGCGGAUGACGGUACCGGAAGAAUAAGCACCGGCUAACUUCGU
Molecule: ribosomal RNA, 483 nt
Filed under: uncultured bacterium
Lineage: Bacteria
Description: partial 16S ribosomal RNA
Rfam family: Bacterial small subunit ribosomal RNA
Source: RNAcentral